AUUGAACGCUGGCGGCAGGCCUAACACAUGCAAGUCGGACGGUAGCACAGAGGAGCUUGCUCCUCGGGUGACGAGUGGCGGACGGGUGAGUAAUGUCUGGGGAUCUGCCCGAUAGAGGGGGAUAACCACUGGAAACGGUGGCUAAUACCGCAUAACGUCGCAAGACCAAAGAGGGGGACCUUCGGGCCUCUCACUAUCGGAUGAACCCAGAUGGGGUUAGCUCGUAGGCGGGGUAAUGGCCCACCUAGGCGACGAUCCCUAGCUGGUCUGAGAGGAUGACCAGCGACACUGGAACUGAGACACGGUCCAGACUCCUACGGGAGGCAGCAGUGGGGAAUAUUGCACAAUGGGCGCAAGCCUGAUGCAGCCAUGCCGCGUGUAUGAAGAAGGCCUUCGGGUUGUAAAGUACUUUCAGCGGGGAGGAAGGCGAUGUGGUUAAUAACCUUGUCGAUCGACGUUACUCGCAGAAGAAGCACCGGCUAACUCCGUGCCAGCCGCCGCGGUAA
RNAcentral lists this ribosomal RNA (506 nucleotides) under uncultured bacterium. RNAcentral's name for it is "partial 16S ribosomal RNA". It matches the Rfam family "Bacterial small subunit ribosomal RNA", at positions 29 to 523 of the family's 1533-position model. The record is from RNAcentral.